CCUACGGGAGGCAGCAGUGGGGAAUUUUGGACAAUGGGCGCAAGCCUGAUCCAGCAAUGCCGCGUGAGUGAAGAAGGCCUUCGGGUUGUAAAGCUCUUUUGUCAGGGAAGAAACGGUGGGGGCUAAUAUCCUCCACUAAUGACGGUACCUGAAGAAUAAGCACCGGCUAACUACGUGCCAGCAGCCGCGGUAAUACGUAGGGUGCAAGCGUUAAUCGGAAUUACUGGGCGUAAAGCGUGCGCAGGCGGUUUUGUAAGUUUGUCGUGAAAUCCCCGGGCUCAACCUGGGAAUGGCGAUGAAGACUGCAAGGCUAGAAUCUGGCAGAGGGGGGUAGAAUUCCACGUGUAGCAGUGAAAUGCGUAGAGAUGUGGAGGAACACCGAUGGCGAAGGCAGCCCCCUGGGUCAAGAUUGACGCUCAUGCACGAAAGCGUGGGGAGCAAACAGGAUUAGAUACCCUGGUAGUCCACGCCCUAAAACGAUGUCUACUAGUUGUCGGGUUUUAAUUAACUUGGUAACGCAGCUAACGCGUGAAGUAGACCGCCUGGGGAGUACGGUCGCAAGAUUAAAACUCAAAUGAAUUGACG
RNAcentral lists this ribosomal RNA (585 nucleotides) under uncultured bacterium. RNAcentral describes it as "bacterial SSU rRNA". It matches the Rfam family "Bacterial small subunit ribosomal RNA", at positions 338 to 915 of the family's 1533-position model. The record is from RNAcentral.